Molecule: long non-coding RNA, 600 nt
Filed under: Gossypium raimondii (Peruvian cotton)
Lineage: Eukaryota; Viridiplantae; Streptophyta; Magnoliopsida; Malvales; Malvaceae
Description: long non-coding RNA (GRAI_LNC004618)
Source: RNAcentral
UUAAAUAAACAUUUAACUUUAUAAACUAAUGCUAAGUAUGUUACCUUCUUGAUUUUCAUGUAUUUUGGAUAAGUCUAGCAAAUUUAAAAACAAAAGUGUUAGUUAAAUUAUGGGAAUGCUUACUAAUAUAAAGAAUACAAAAGCUUAUUUUAUAAAUUAAAAUUUAUAUAUUACCAUCUUCCAUUGUUUGAAGUUCAUCAAAAUAAUCUUCAUAAAAUAUAGUGUGUAGUGAAUGUUUUGUGAAACUCUUUGUUGUGUUGUAUGAUUUUACACCUAAUGUUGGUUUGCUUUGCACUUAAUUGUCCAUGUUACUAUAAACAAGGGAACAUAUAUCUGUAUAGACUAUGCUGUGAUUAAAGUGGAAGACAUGUUUUGUUUAUUAGACAAGAUUUAUGUACUGUUCAAGCCACUUGAUUCAUUCAUCAUGCUUAGCAUCAAUAGGUCUUCCAAGAUUCAGAAUGUUGGUUAAUUUGUUUGUAUGGUACUAAUGGUUGAGAUUUUCUGCUGUUUUAUAUAUAUGUCAUGCCCCAUGUGUAGUUCAUUGUGCUUGAUUAUUCUCUCUAGUUUCAAAACUUUGAUGGAUCCUUUGCUCUUUCUAAU